Molecule: RNA transcript, 1082 nt
Organism: Symphalangus syndactylus (siamang)
Lineage: Eukaryota; Metazoa; Chordata; Mammalia; Primates; Hylobatidae
Gene: FIMP1
Gene name: fertilization-influencing membrane protein 1
Source: RefSeq, a predicted model, not a curated record
AGCUGUCUUGGGAGCAGCGGGAAGGCAGGCAGCUCUGGGGGCAUAAAGUGUGAUCCCACUUAGGGAUUCGAAAACCAACCCUGCACCCUCUCCUUUUCUCUCCACUCUUCUCUCCCAUCCUGCUGGUCCCACCCACCCCCCAACAACCGUGGGCCUUGUCGUGGUGCACCCAGCUGACCCUGAGGGAAAUCAAGACCCUCCACAGCCUCUGCAAUAAGGCUGAGUGGUCUCACAGGGUCCCAAGUCAGCUUCUGCCUAGAGAGAUAAAGGCAGGGGUCAGCCUGGCUGUUGUCACAGACUUUGCUUGGGUCCUAGCACCCAGACCCAAGCGUGCCACAGCGUCAGCCCUGGGAACAGAGUCUCUGCGCUUCUUAGACAGACCUGACUUCUUCAAUUAUCCGGACUCAGACCAAGCCAGGCUCCUGGCUGUGGCCCAGUUUAUUGAAGAGAAGCCCAUCGUGUUCAUUAACUCAGCUUUCCCUGGGAAUACGCUGGGUCUGCUUGGCUGUCAGUACCCAGAACCGGGGCUUCCCAGGCUCCUGCCAGCACCAGCAGGACCAAGGAGCGGGCCACCUGCACCCCACCCACCCAGCUCCCCGGGACUCACCACCGAGAGUGGGAAGCACACCAGCACCAUGGCGGCAUGGUGGAGCACCAUGAGGAACUCCUUGUGCAGUACAGUGGGGGGAAAAGAAAAGACCAGAAGAUGCCCACAGACCAAAAGGCACAGAUACAGUGCCAGAAUAAGCCCGGGCCAGGCAGGUGGGACCUUGCCAUGGUUAUUUGUCCUAACCUUACCACAAGAUUAGGACCAGCAACAGCUGAAAGGGCGACAGUGCUGGAGAGAGAGGUCACAGGGGUGAACGCCCAUUCCUGCCUCCUCGGGCAGCCGCUCUUCCAAACUUCCCAUGCAUGCACUUAUUUACCCCUCCCAAAACCCUGUAAAAAGUAGGUGUGGCCAUCAUCCCCACUGUACAGGUGAGGAAGUGAGUCACAGAGGGGCUAGGUAACCUGGCCAAGGAAGGGACAUGGGCAGUGUGGCUCCACAGCCCUCACUGUCAUCCCCACUGUCCCAAGAAGAU